GUUUUUGCACUCUCCCUAUACUCUCGAGAACCUGUGCGAUUGGUCGGAGCAUAAAAGAAAGCCUACCAGAGAUUGGGGGCGACGCCGAAGACAUUCGCCGGAACCGGGGUUUACGUCGGGUUUAACUCGGUUUGUUCGAGAUGAAACAGUGUUUGAAGAGGCAGAGGAAAAACGCUCUCGUUCAUUCGGUUUCUCAAUCUUUACUCAUGCGUUAUUUUGCAAGGAACUGCAAACGCAACCACUGUGAGUAG
RNAcentral lists this long non-coding RNA (251 nucleotides) under Helianthus annuus (common sunflower). RNAcentral's name for it is "sRNA HanXRQr2_Chr06g0273611". The record is from RNAcentral. Lineage: Eukaryota; Viridiplantae; Streptophyta; Magnoliopsida; Asterales; Asteraceae.